AGAGUUUGAUCAUGGCUCAGAUUGAACGCUGGCGGAAUGCUUUACACAUGCAAGUCGAACGGUAGAGGGGGCAACCCCUUGAGAGUGGCGAACGGGUGAGUAAUAUAUCGGAACGUGCCCAGUCGUGGGGGAUAACGUAGCGAAAGUUACGCUAAUACCGCAUACGAUCUAAGGAUGAAAGCGGGGGAUCGCAAGACCUCGCGCGAUUGGAGCGGCCGAUAUCAGAUUAGGUAGUUGGUGGGGUAAAGGCUCACCAAGCCAACGAUCUGUAGCUGGUCUGAGAGGACGACCAGCCACACUGGAACUGAGACACGGUCCAGACUCCUACGGGAGGCAGCAGUGGGGAAUUUUGGACAAUGGACGCAAGUCUGAUCCAGCCAUUCCGCGUGCAGGAUGAAGGCCCUCGGGUUGUAAACUACUUUUGUACGGAACGAAAAGGUUUGUCUUAAUACGAUGAGCUCAUGACGGUACCGUAAGAAUAAGCACCGGCUAACUACGUGCCAGCAGCCGCGGUAAUACGUAGGGUGCAAGCGUUAAUCGGAAUUACUGGGCGUAAAGCGUGCGCAGGCGGUUAUGUAAGACAGAGGUGAAAUCCCCGGGCUCAACCUGGGAACUGCCUUUGUGACUGCAUAGCUAGAGUACGGUAGAGGGGGAUGGAAUUCCGCGUGUAGCAGUGAAAUGCGUAGAUAUGCGGAGGAACACCGAUGGCGAAGGCAAUCCCCUGGACCUGUACUGACGCUCAUGCACGAAAGCGUGGGGAGCAAACAGGAUUAGAUACCCUGGUAGUCCACGCCCUAAACGAUGUCAACUGGUUGUUGGGUCUUCACUGACUCAGUAACGAAGCUAACG
Molecule: ribosomal RNA, 849 nt
Filed under: uncultured bacterium
Lineage: Bacteria
Description: bacterial SSU rRNA
Rfam family: Bacterial small subunit ribosomal RNA
Source: RNAcentral